Molecule: long non-coding RNA, 702 nt
Organism: Girardinichthys multiradiatus
Lineage: Eukaryota; Metazoa; Chordata; Actinopteri; Cyprinodontiformes; Goodeidae
Exons: 3
Source: RefSeq, a predicted model, not a curated record
GCAGUAGAUUAAUGCAUUUCUGGGAAGCGUUCCCUGUAAUAUGGACUGUUUUGUCUCUGAAUGAUGCAACUCGUCUGAAGGUCAACAGUUUCCUCCACGGUGAGCCUAAGCUACACAGCAGUAAUUUUACAAGCCAGGAGGAUGCAGGACCAUCUGGCACUGAAAGGACUCCACUACUUGGGUUGAGGCUUUAUCCUCUUCUUCAAGUGCACAAGAUGAUGAUGUGCCUCAAGCCCCAUGAAACACAAGGUAGCUUCUGUCCCAAGAAAAUAGAGUCAGUCUACCUCUAAACCGGGCGAUGACAACAAGACCAAGUGGCACUCUCCAGGUGAGCCUGACAUUGAGGCACAAGCUACAUUUACCUAGAGGCAUCCUCCAGGACCUAGACUUGACACCACAAAAUCAUGGUCACCACUGAGCCUGCUAAAGCUGUUUUUUAGUGCAAGCACCAUCCGGAACAUAAUCAAUAAUUCCAAUUCGAAUGCUCAAAGAACAUUUUCAGCUGACAAGAAAUUCCUCUGGUCACCAAGUUUGUUUAUAUAGUUUUUAUUGAUGGUUGUUUUUUGCACAUUUGUUUAUGUUGUUUUUCAAAAAUAAAAUCCUCCAGUUGGAGAUGAAAGAAUACAUUUUAGUUUGAUUUCUUUUCAUUAUAUUAAUUUUAUCUUCAUCAUCAUCAACUUGAUUCAUAAAGCGCUUCAACAG